Molecule: long non-coding RNA, 1403 nt
Filed under: Macaca fascicularis (crab-eating macaque)
Lineage: Eukaryota; Metazoa; Chordata; Mammalia; Primates; Cercopithecidae
Description: lncRNA (ENSMFAG00000051566.1)
Source: RNAcentral
GAAGAAGGCGGGGUUUCGGGUGCACCAAGGGAGAUACUCAAGGUCACUUUGUAACAACUUUAUUGGCAACUAGCCGGGAAGGACAACGACAACCACCUGGUGAUUGGGCAGGCAAUCCUUGAAUUAUGUACAUUUAAUUUAGUAAUUCUAACAAAUGGCUAAUGGAAGUGAUAUCAACACGUCAACAUAAAAGAUUAAACAUCUAGAAUGCCCUGCUAAGAAGAUGGCUGGGGACUGAACUCCAGCCCAUUCUGCCUAGAGCCCUGGCAUGAGACAACAUCAACCCGGAGGAUCAGCUUUUUACUUGUUAGCGCAAAGAUCUAAUGUCUGGAUGGGAGGCAGCAAUAUUACAACUACAAGAACAAAAGUCACACGUUGAGGAUGGAGAAUCUGGAAAGUAGGAACCGGAAUUUUUCACUUUUUUUUGGAGUAAGCAGCCCUUAAUUGCCUAUUUAUGGAGUUCAUGUCACAUGAAAAAAAUAAAUCUCUAUUUGGCUAAGUCACUGAAGCCAGUUUCUGUUAUAUGCAGCUAAACACAACCCAAACUAAUAGAUAAUUUUGUAGACUUACAUCUCUGAAGAUCUUUGGCCUUUGGGCUGUGAUUACAGCUGAAGUGCCCCUUCUCCCCCCAAAUUUACAUUAAUUUACAUCUGCCUUUUCUUCCUUAUUUGAUGGUAUGAUAUGUCUGCUAGGGACCAAUCAGUAGAUCAAAAACAUACCUGUGAUUUGAACAGGGAAAAUUUAACAUAAAAAAAAACCAUUAACCAGUGAAAGAUGUCUGAAAGGAGCAGAGUGGACUCUAAGGGGUCCAGUGGUACUCCUGUAGGCAUGGCUACUAACCUUGGCUGAAGAAGAACGUACAAGAAGAAGGAACCUGAGAAAUUUAGAGGAGAAUGUGUGACUGCCACAAGAAUGUGUAGUCCACCUGUGCUGAAGAAACUUGCUGGAAGCAUGGGCCGUAACUGAAUUGUGAGGACUGUAGAGGUGAAUACUACUAGGCCCUGCCUGCAAACCAAUCCACUGGCUCCACACAAAAAAGUCUACCGGAAGAAGAAUGUCAAGUCCUUUCCUCUGCUCUGGUCUCCCAGUGUCUCUCCAUCAUCUUCUAUUGGCAGAACCUAUCAUUUUGCCAUUGCUAAAGCAGAAAUUUGGCAGGGUCCAGCUUACAGGGUCCAGCUCCAGAAUAACAAAGCAAGGGAAAAAAAGAUGGAUUUGUAGCUGAGAAGUCAUAAGUUAUAAGUCAAUAACUUAAGAAGUCAUAAGUUAAUAACUAGCACAGAUUGUAAGAUUCUCAACGGCAGGCAUUAUGUCUAAUGCAUGCUAUGUCUCUUAUAGCACCUAACAGAGUGUUAAACAUAGUAGUCACUCAAUAAAUGUUUUCUUGAUAAUAAAUAGUAUGUAUG